UACGUAGGGUGCGAGCGUUGCCCGGAUUUAUUGGGCGUAAAGGGCGCGUAGGCGGUCACGCACGUCCGUUGUGAAAUCGCUCGGCUCAACUGGGCGGGGUCAGCGGAUACGGUGUGACUGGAGCAAGCUAGGGGGCAAUGGAAUUCCCGGUGUAGUGGUGGAAUGCGUAGAUAUCGGAAGGAACACCAGUGGCGAAGGCGGCUACCUGGACAAAUACUGACGCUGAGGCGCGAAAGCGUGGGGAGCAAACAGG
RNAcentral lists this ribosomal RNA (253 nucleotides) under uncultured bacterium. RNAcentral's name for it is "partial 16S ribosomal RNA". It matches the Rfam family "Bacterial small subunit ribosomal RNA", at positions 524 to 776 of the family's 1533-position model. The record is from RNAcentral.